UGUUAGGGCACGACACCGGAGAGGGAGCCUGAGAACGGCUACCACAUCCAAGGAAGGCAGCAGGCGCGCAAAUUACCCAAUCCCGACACGGGGAGGUAGUGACAAUAAAUAACAAUACAGGGUUCUUUUGGAUCUUGUAAUUGGAAUGAGUACAAUUUAAAUCUCUUAACGAGGAACAAUUGGAGGGCAAGUCUGGUGCCAGCAGCCGCGGUAAUUCCAGCUCCAAUAGCGUAUAUUAAAGUUGUUGCAGUUAAAAAGCUCGUAGUUGAAUUUCGGGAUCAAUGUUUCGGUCAUGCCGUUGGUAUGUACUGAUAUUAUUGGUUUCUCACCUUCUAAAGAACCGUAAUGCCAUUAAUUUGGUGUCACGGGGAAUUAGGACUGUUACCUUGAAAAAAUUAGAGUGUUUAAAGCAGGCUCACGCUUGAAUACAUUAGCAUGGAAUAAUGAAAUAGGACAUCCGAUUCUAUUUUGUUGGUUUCUAGGAUCGAUGUAAUGAUUAAUAGGGAUAGUUGGGGGCAUUAGUAUUCAAUUGUCAGAGGUGAAAUUCUUGGAUUUAUUGAAGACUAACUACUGCGAAAGCAUUUGCCAAGGAUGUUUUCAUUAUCAAGAACGAAAGUUAGGGGAUCGAAGACGAUCAAAACCGUCGUAUUCCUAACCCUAAACUUUGCCGACUAGGGAUCGGAUGAUGCUAAUUUUUAAUGACUAUUCUGCUCUUACCUUAAACCAACGCUCCGGCUCUUUACUUACCUUUUUUUUUUGAUCUCCCUCUCCUUACUCUUUUCUCUUUU
Molecule: ribosomal RNA, 788 nt
Filed under: Funneliformis caledonium
Lineage: Eukaryota; Fungi; Glomeromycota; Glomeromycetes; Glomerales; Glomeraceae
Description: bacterial SSU rRNA
Rfam family: Eukaryotic small subunit ribosomal RNA
Source: RNAcentral